Molecule: ribosomal RNA, 263 nt
Filed under: uncultured bacterium
Lineage: Bacteria
Description: partial 16S ribosomal RNA
Rfam family: Bacterial small subunit ribosomal RNA
Source: RNAcentral
CCCAGUGGCGGACGGGUGAGUAACGCGUGGGCAACCUGCCCCGUGCCGGGGGAUACCGCCUGGAAACAGGCGCUAAUACCGCAUAAGCGCAUACAGCCGCAUGGGUGUAUGCGGAAAGCUCCGGCGGCACGGGAUGGGCCCGCGCCCGAUUAGCCAGUUGGCGGGGUAACGGCCCACCAAAGCGACGAUCGGUAGCCGGCCUGAGAGGGCGGACGGCCACAUUGGGACUGAGACACGGCCCAAACUCCUACGGAAGGCAGCAG